GUGAUCCACCUGGGGAGUACGCUUGCAAGAGUGAAACUCUAAGGUAUUGACGGGGGCCCGCACAAGCGGUGGAGCAUGUGGUUUAAUUCGAUGAUACGCGAGGAACCUUACCUGGGCUUAAAUGCAGAACGACUAGUCUGGGAAACCGGCCCUUCUUCGGACGGACUGCAAGGUUCUGCAUGGUUGUCGUCAGCUCGUGCCGUGAGGUGUCGGCUUAAGUCCCAUAACGAGCGCAACCCCUAUCAAUAGUUGCCAGCGAGUUAUCUCGGGGACUCUAGUGAAACUGCCCGUGCAAGCGGUGAGGAAGGUGGGGAUGACGUCAAAUCAUCACGGCCCUUACGUCCAGGGCUACACACGUGCUACAAUGGCGCAUACAAAGGGCAGCUACCACGCGGGUGGAUGCUAAUCUCGAAAGUGCGUCUCAGUUCGGAUUGAAGUCUGCAACUCGACUUCAUGAAGCUGGAAUCGCUAGUAAUCGCGCAUCAGCCAUGGCGCGGUGUANACGUUCCCGGCCAUUGUANCACCGCCCGUCAAGCCAUG
RNAcentral lists this ribosomal RNA (540 nucleotides) under uncultured organism. Its description in RNAcentral is "bacterial SSU rRNA". It matches the Rfam family "Bacterial small subunit ribosomal RNA", at positions 864 to 1406 of the family's 1533-position model. The record is from RNAcentral.